RNAcentral lists this ribosomal RNA (676 nucleotides) under Klebsiella pneumoniae. RNAcentral describes it as "partial 23S ribosomal RNA". It matches the Rfam family "Bacterial large subunit ribosomal RNA", at positions 146 to 865 of the family's 2925-position model. Lineage: Bacteria; Pseudomonadati; Pseudomonadota; Gammaproteobacteria; Enterobacterales; Enterobacteriaceae. The record is from RNAcentral.
CACUAUCGUUAACUGAAUACAUAGGUUAACGAGGCGAACCGGGGGAACUGAAACAUCUAAGUACCCCGAGGAAAAGAAAUCAACCGAGAUUCCCCCAGUAGCGGCGAGCGAACGGGGAGCAGCCCAGAGUCUGAAUCAGCUUGUGUGUUAGUGGAACGGUCUGGAAAGUCCGACGGUACAGGGUGAUAGUCCCGUACACCAAAAUGCACAGGCUGUGAACUCGAAGAGUAGGGCGGGACACGUGGUAUCCUGUCUGAAUAUGGGGGGACCAUCCUCCAAGGCUAAAUACUCCUGACUGACCGAUAGUGAACCAGUACCGUGAGGGAAAGGCGAAAAGAACCCCGGCGAGGGGAGUGAAAAAGAACCUGAAACCGUGUACGUACAAGCAGUGGGAGCACCUUCGGGUGUGACUGCGUACCUUUUGUAUAAUGGGUCAGCGACUUAUAUUCUGUAGCAAGGUUAACCGUAUAGGGGAGCCGCAGGGAAACCGAGUCUUAACUGGGCGUUAAGUUGCAGGGUAUAGACCCGAAACCCGGUGAUCUAGCCAUGGGCAGGUUGAAGGUUGGGUAACACUAACUGGAGGACCGAACCGACUAAUGUUGAAAAAUUAGCGGAUGACUUGUGGCUGGGGGUGAAAGGCCAAUCAAACCGGGAGAUAGCUGGUUCUCCCCGAAAG